UCAGGAUGAACGCUAGCGGCAGGCUAACACAUGCAAGUCGAGGGGCAGCGGGAUGUAGCAAUACAUGCCGGCGACCGGCGGAUGGGUGCGUAACGCGUAUGCAACCUACCUUAUACAGGGGAAUAACCUUUCGAAAGGGAGACUAACACCCCAUGGUAUUGAUUUAAGGCAUCUUAGAUUAAUUAAAUAUUUAUAGGUAUAAGAUGGGCAUGCGUAUGAUUAGCUAGUUGGUAAGGUAACGGCUUACCAAGGCGACGAUCAUUAGGGGUUCUGAGAGGAAGGUCCCCCACACUGGUACUGAGACACGGACCAGACUCCUACGGGAGGCAGCAGUGAGGAAUAUUGGUCAAUGGGCGCAAGCCUGAACCAGCCAUGCCGCGUGCAGGAAAAGACGGCCUUAUGGGUUGUAAACUGCUUUUACAUAAGACUAACCGUAUAUUUGCGAAUAUACCUGAAUGUAUUAUGAGAAUAAGGAUCGGCUAACUCCGUGCCAGCAGCGGC
RNAcentral lists this ribosomal RNA (501 nucleotides) under uncultured bacterium. RNAcentral describes it as "bacterial SSU rRNA". It matches the Rfam family "Bacterial small subunit ribosomal RNA", at positions 24 to 518 of the family's 1533-position model. The record is from RNAcentral.